UGCCGCUCCAGGACACAGGGCGCUUGGUAUCUGUGCAAGGAAGGAGACACCGGUGCCAUUGGGAAGGAAAGUGAUUAACACAGAGGCCAGGGCGCUGGCCAGGAAUGCCUGCUGGUGGCACUGGGACCUUUGUAUCCGCGGCUCCAGAGGAGGAUCACUGCAAACGCAACUGUGAACAGCACUGCCUGAGAGUAAGGCGAGUGCCUGCACGCGGAUCUCGUGUGUCAACGCCUGGUGAAUGGACACUCAGAUCCCAGCAAGUUCUGCCCUGGGCAUCAGGACAGAGCCUCUUAUGUGGAAAGACACACAUGAUAACACAGCCAUGGAUGCAGGAGAGUCACAGAAUCUCUUCUUGGGAACCUCGGCCCUGCUUACUUAGGACAGCUCAGAGAAGAGCACAGAGUAGUCCUGGCCAGAUCCCUUCUCCUUGCUAUUCCUCAUCCUUCCCGACUCCACUCACGAGAAUAUGUCAUUAACCACCACCCUCACCUCACCUAACCACCACUCUCAACUUAUCUAACCCGUACUCACUUCAACUACCACCCUCACCUCACCUAACCAUCACAUCACUUCACCCAACUACCACCCUCACCUCACCUAACCACAAGUCUCAUCUAACCCAUACUCCACCUAACCAUGACCCUCACCUCAUCUAACCUCCAUUCUCAACUCAUCUAACCAUCCCCUUCACCUAACCACCAUCUCACUUCACCUAACAGUCACCUUCACUUCACCUAACCACUCUCCUCACCUUAUCUAACCACCACUAUCAACUCAUCCAACCCAUCCUCACUUCACUUACCCACCACCCUCACCUCACGGAACCCAUCUUCACCUCACCUAACCACUAACCUCACCUCACCUAAUCACCACCUUCACCUCACCUAACCAUCACCCUCACCUCACCUAAUCACCACCUUCACUCACCUAACCACUAACUUCACCUCACCUAAUCACCACUCUCAACUUACCUAAUCUGUACUCACUUCACCUAACCACCCCCACUCACCUCGCCUAACCAUCACUUCACCCAACCACCACCCUCACCUCAAGCCUCAUCUAACCCAUACUUCACCUAACCAUGACCCUCACCUCAUCCAACCACCAUUCUCAAUUCAUCUAACCAUCUCCUUCACCUAACCACCAUCUCACUUCACCUAUCAACUUCACUUCACCUAACCACUCUUCUCACCUAACCACCACUCUCAAUUCAUCUAACCCAUACUCACUUCGCUUACCCACCAUAUUCACCUCACUUAUCCAUAACUCUUACCUCACCUAACUGCCACCCUCACAUCAUCUAACAACCACCUUCAUCUCCACCUAACCACUUUACUCACUUUAUCUAGCCACCACCCUCACCUCAUCCAACACAUACUCCCUUCACUUACCCACCACCUGACUCACCUCAUGGAACCCAUCUUCACCUCACCUAACCACUAACCUCACUUCACCUAACCACCACUCUGAACUCAUCUAACCUAUAUUCACUUCAACUAACCACAGCCUGCACCUUACCUAACCCACCCUCACCUCACCUAACAGCCACCCUCACAUCACGUAACCACCACCUUCACUUUGUGGUGGAAAGCAGUUUGCUGAUUUCUCAAAGAACUUAGAACUACCAUUCAACCUGGCAAUACCAUUACUGGCUAUAAACCCAAAGGCACAGAAAUCAUUCUAGCAAAAAGACAUGCCCAUCAACAGCCCUAUUCACAAAGCAAAGACAUGGAAUCAAUACGUCUCCAUCAAAGGUGGACUAGAUGAAGAACAUGUGGUACAUACAGAGCAUGGAAUAUUACGCAGCCACAAAGACUGAAAUCACGUCCUUUGAAGCACCAUGGAGGCAGCUGGAGGCCAUCAUCCUAAGCCAAUUAGCACAGCAACAGAAAACCAAAUACCACGUGUUCUCGUAAGUGGGAGCAAAACACGGUACUCAGGGAGGAGAAAU
This 1951-nucleotide long non-coding RNA is filed under the name Homo sapiens (human). Its description in RNAcentral is "HSALNT0131759". Lineage: Eukaryota; Metazoa; Chordata; Mammalia; Primates; Hominidae. The record is from RNAcentral.